RNAcentral lists this ribosomal RNA (348 nucleotides) under Lepidurus apus lubbocki. Its description in RNAcentral is "partial 12S ribosomal RNA". The record is from RNAcentral. Lineage: Eukaryota; Metazoa; Arthropoda; Branchiopoda; Notostraca; Triopsidae.
UCUUUAUUGUUAGAUGCCUGGGUAGUAAAUGAUUGUCUAAACCUAAAGAAUUUGGCGGUACUUCAUUCUUACUAGAGGAACCUGCUCUUGUAUCGAUAUUCCACGAUUAAAUAUACAUAUUUUUGUUUUUCAGUUUGUAUACCGCCGUUGUCAGAUUAUUUUUGAAAAAUAUUAUCUAAUUAGUUUAUUACUAUGACAUCAGGUCAAGGUGCAGUCAAUGAAUUUGGGAGUAGUGGGUUACAAUAAUCUGAAAUUAUUACGGAUUAAUAGUUGUAUAAUUAUUAUGAAGGUGGAUUUAGUAGUAAAAUAAAGAUAAAAUAUUUAUAUGAAAUGAGCUCUGGAGUGUGU